Molecule: small RNA, 356 nt
Filed under: Pongo abelii (Sumatran orangutan)
Lineage: Eukaryota; Metazoa; Chordata; Mammalia; Primates; Hominidae
Description: processed transcript
Source: RNAcentral
GGCUUUUGACUGACUGGAUGUGGGAAUGUUGUGGAAGACUUCUGGCCUGCCAUUUCCUGAGAAUGGGACUGCUGAGAGAAGAGCUGGGAGGAGCACUGCAAAUUUCACUCUGGACACAUGAGUCAGAGAAAUCUGCCUCCUGGGCCAUGCCGCUUCUAAGGCCUGUUUCUUCUCAUGAGCCCCAGCACAAGACAGAUGGGCCAGUUCUCACAGUGGAUAACUUCCCCUGCCUGAGCAAGAGAUGGGAUAGUAUCUGGGAUCUAUCCAUCACCAGACUCUGAACUUAAUAAGGCAGCUGAAUGAAGGGAGGUAACGGACCCCUGAGAGGGGCGCUGAAGUCUGCAGUGGGGGGGGAG